RNAcentral lists this ribosomal RNA (216 nucleotides) under Glomeromycotina sp. Its description in RNAcentral is "partial small subunit ribosomal RNA". The stretch from base 40 to 216 matches the Rfam family "Eukaryotic small subunit ribosomal RNA", at positions 686 to 864 of the family's 1831-position model. Lineage: Eukaryota; Fungi; Glomeromycota. The record is from RNAcentral.
GGGUCAGUAGGUUGGUCGUGCCACCGGUACGUACUGGUCUCACUGAUUCCUCCUUCCUGAAGAACCGUAAUGCCAUUAAUUUGGUGUUGCGGGGAAACAGGACUGUUACUUUGAAAAAAUUAGAGUGUUAAAAGCAAGCUAACGCUUGAAUACAUUAGCAUGGAAUAAUGAAAUAGGACGAUCGACCCUAUUUUGUUGGUUUCUAGGAUUGACGUA